This 427-nucleotide ribosomal RNA is filed under the name uncultured prokaryote. RNAcentral describes it as "bacterial SSU rRNA". It matches the Rfam family "Bacterial small subunit ribosomal RNA", at positions 355 to 774 of the family's 1533-position model. The record is from RNAcentral.
UGAGGAAUAUUGGUCAAUGGGCGCAAGCCUGACGCAGCAACGCCGCGUGGGUGAUUAAGGUCUUCGGAUCGUAACACCCUGUCGUCAGGGACGAAGGUCACGAGUUUAAGAGAUGCGUGACUUGACGGUACCUGGAGAGGAAGCCCCGGCUAACUCUGUGCCAGCAGCCGCGGUAAUACAGAGGGGGCAAGCGUUAUUCGGAAUUAUUGGGCGUAAAGGGCGCGUAGGCGGUGUCUUAAGUGAGACGUGUAAUCCCCGAGCUUAACUUGGGAACUGCAUCUCAGACUGGGGCGCUAGAGUACUGGAGAGGGUGGUAGAAUUCCACGUGUAGCGGUGAAAUGCGUAGAGAUGUGGAGGAAUACCAGUGGCGAAGGCGGCCACCUGGACAGUGACUGACGCUGAGGCGCGAAAGUGUGGGGAGCAAACA